CCCGGAGCAGCCCCGGCUGGGUUUGAAGGCAGCGGCCGCUGAGUGAUGCAGGUCAUUUUCAUAGUUGGGUGAGGAGACGCUUCAGACGUGAGAUGAGCUACAGCUGGUAGCUGGCUCCCCCCGCCUGGGAUGUGCACUUAGAUCCCCGUCCAUUGGAUCCAAAGAACCUACCUGCACCCAGGAUCUGAAAGAUUUAAUGUAGGUCAUCCAACCAAGUGGAAAGAACCACGACAUCCCUUUGUAAUGGAAAGUGAGAAAAGAACAUCUGGAUCCUGCUCUCUCUUCUACUGUCCACACACAGGUCAGCCACAAACAGCGGCUUCCUUCUUACAGAAGCCCAUUAAUUCGUUACCUGGAAGACUGGAUGCGUGCGCUCCCUUGGCUUUCCUUGCCACCUCAAGUUUUCCAUUUCCAAUGCUUAGAAGUUUUGUUUGUGAGGGUCCAAAUGUGGCAGAAACUAUUUACAGGCUUCUAUGCUGCACUGGCUGUGGAGGCCAAGGAUGUUGGCUGAACAACUGACCAACCUUUCCAGGAAGAGAUCUGAAGCACAGAAUUUGAAAAAACACCUUCCAAUUUGUCAGGAACAUGGAAAAAGCUGCUGUCUCUUCCAUGUUGGCGGGGGCCCUAAAGCACAGCAUCACAGCAUCUGGUUAACCAACCACCGAAACUUCAAAACACAGAUUUCAGACUCCACUGUUUUUCUAUAGGAACACAGAGCAGCAGUCAAGAGUAGGACCACAGGGCUCUAGGAAAAAUAAGGAGUUAUUGGGCUUGAGGGACUGUCUUCGCACCACAGAUUCAUACCAUAUGGACUCAAACGAGAAUCAACUGUUCAAGGAGCCAAAGGAAAUCAGGAUACCAAGAGGUGGUGUGUGACAAUUUCUUCUCACUGUAAAAAUAACCUAGAGUGCUUAGCAGAAACCUGGAGAAGGGAAGUUUUUCUGAAAUAAAAAGCAAAACCACUAUUUGAUAGUCCCUGUAUUACCUACCUGAGAGAGAGAAAAUUUCCCUUUUAAAAUUCACGUGGCUUAGUUUACUUCUCCUUGGUUAUAUAGUUCAGAGCAUGAGAACUUGCUUCCAUUCCAUGAAAUUAAGAAUUAAGACUCACAUUUCAGUUUACAAGGUAUUUUAUUUGUCUGCUCUGGUCUUUUCAUGGAUUUUCUCCAACCAUCCCAUUUCCACUUCUGAAGCCAUUCCCAAGAUUUCCAACAGGUCCUGAAAUUAUACUUCCUCUCCUCUGGUUGUCCCAGCUCCCCCAAGCCCGUCCUGUCCAGCGGCAAUGCCCAGCAGCUCUCAGCUGGAUUCACCCGUACGCCAAGCACACGCUCCUCCGGCAGCUCCACAUAAUGUCAACGUGACAAUCACUAACAGCUGUCCUGACGUUGUUAUGUCCUUCCCACAUGGGCCCCCUUCACCAGGUAGUCCUGGAGAGCCACGUCCCCUCAAUUCAGCAGUGCACAAUUCACAAUGGACAAUGAAAUAGAGUUGAUACUAACAUCCUGGAAUCCACUGAAAGAAACUGGCAUUAGCAUUAACAGCUGGCUUCAAACUAACUGAAGUGAUUGAAGUUUUUAUGCCCAAACCAGCAAAAUAUGUAACACGGAUUAAAAAACUCAAGACAGCAACUAAACAAGCUAGCAGAAACAGCCUGCUGCCCAUCAAUGAAGAGAAAAGCCUCCAAGAAAAGCAGUUUCACAAAUGAUGAAGAAACUGCCCUACUUUUUCAGAAAAUAAGUUAAAGUAGCCUAUUAAAAUAAUUAUCCAUUUUUAAGUAGCAGUAAACUAUAAUAUUCACUCCAAAUCAUCAUGAAACAUAGUAUGACUUCAGGAUAGCCUGAUGACCUGGGCAGAGCCCACUCAGGAGGCCAUGUAGCCUAAUGGUUAAGGACAUGACCUCUGAAGCCCAACUUGCCUUGGUUUGAAUCCUGGUUCACCUAUUUACUUUCUGCGUGACCUGUUUGGACUUUUCCUGCCCAGAUAAAACGAGGAUGAUGAUAUGGUACUUAAUUGACUCUAGAGCUCACAUUUUAACAUCCCUGAAGUCUGUAGGGCCUUAAAAUGACGGCCAGGCCACAGUCAGGUUGUAGUUGUCACUGCUUGUGCAUAUGUGGACUUUGUGGUUGUUUCCGGUGGCACGAAUGGACAACUGCAAACCGUUCAUUAUUUCAGUCCAUGAACCACUGUACUGACUGUUGACAGAAACCCUUCUAUUAACACCUUCUGACCAAGAAAACACCAGCCUCAGAACUUGCAGAAUGAGUGUCAGUAACUUGGAAGAAAAUCGCAGACAGUGGUAGAGCACUUCAUUAAGAACUGAGACAUCACGAGGUCUGAGUCACGAAUGUCAGACUGAACGCGAAGUUUUAGAAAUGCCUUACCCAGUUAAUUUCACUUGUUUUUCUUUUUAUAUUAGCAUAGAAUGACAUAAAAAAUAUGUCUCAAUACCAUAUUACAUCAAUCUAAGAUUUUUUUUCAUAUUUUAACAUCUCAA
This is a long non-coding RNA of Diceros bicornis minor, 2491 nucleotides long. RefSeq lists it as uncharacterized. NCBI's taxonomy places the organism in Eukaryota, Metazoa, Chordata, Mammalia, Perissodactyla, Rhinocerotidae. The record is from RefSeq and is a predicted model, not a curated record. The transcript is spliced from 3 exons.